CCUACGGGGGGCUGCAGUGGGGAAUAUUGGACAAUGGGCGAAAGCCUGAUCCAGCCAUGCCGCGUGUGCGAAGAAGGCCUUCGGGUUGUAAAGCACUUUCAGUGGGGAAGAAAGCCUUGGGGCUAAUACCCUCGAGGAAGGACAUCACCCACAGAAGAAGCACCGGCUAACUCCGUGCCAGCAGCCGCGGUAAUACGGAGGGUGCGAGCGUUAAUCGGAAUUACUGGGCGUAAAGCGCGCGUAGGCGGUCUGAUAAGCCGGUUGUGAAAGCCCCGGGCUCAACCUGGGAACGGCAUCCGGAACUGUCAGGCUAGAGUGCAGGAGAGGAAGGUAGAAUUCCCGGUGUAGCGGUGAAAUGCGUAGAGAUCGGGAGGAAUACCAGUGGCGAAGGCGGCCUUCUGGACUGACACUGACGCUGAGGUGCGAAAGCGUGGGUAGCAAACAGGAUUAGAUACCCCAGUAGUC
RNAcentral lists this ribosomal RNA (465 nucleotides) under Vreelandella stevensii. RNAcentral describes it as "partial 16S ribosomal RNA". It matches the Rfam family "Bacterial small subunit ribosomal RNA", at positions 338 to 795 of the family's 1533-position model. The record is from RNAcentral. Lineage: Bacteria; Pseudomonadati; Pseudomonadota; Gammaproteobacteria; Oceanospirillales; Halomonadaceae.